RNAcentral lists this ribosomal RNA (254 nucleotides) under uncultured bacterium. RNAcentral's name for it is "partial 16S ribosomal RNA". It matches the Rfam family "Bacterial small subunit ribosomal RNA", at positions 524 to 777 of the family's 1533-position model. The record is from RNAcentral.
UACGUAGGGUGCAAGCGUUGUCCGGAAUUAUUGGGCGUAAAGAGCGUGUAGGCGGCCCCCAUUAGUCCGCUGUGAAAGUCCAGGGCUCAACCCUGGAAUGCCGGUGGAUACUGUGGGGCUAGAGUCCGGAAGGGGCGAGUGGAAUUCCUGGUGUAGCGGUGGAAUGCGCAGAUAUCAGGAGGAACACCAAUGGCGAAGGCAGAUCUCUGGGCCGUAACUGACGCUGAGGAGCGAAGCAUGGGGAGCGAACAGGA